UCUGUCGGCUGCGUGCGAAUUUAGGGGGAAAAAGUAUCGUGACUUUGUCAACCACCAACAUGUUCGUCUCGUCUCGUUAACGAAAGUUAGAAUAGAUUUAGUCAUAGUUUUUAUUCUUUAAGAUCGUUUUCGUCUCGUCUUAGUCUCGUCUUAGUCAUGGAAAAAAGCUUCGUUAACGAAAAAUUUUCGUCAUAGUUUUCGUCGAUGAAAUUAACACUGGAAGUUACCCAGAGGCCAAAAACUACAAAAUAAAAGAGAACCCAAACCGUGACACCCUGCCUCGAUGAGGUGACACCUCCAGGUGGGUGAGUGCUGAAGCCUUCUGCAGAAGGAUGUAUUAUUCCUUGAAAUCCACAAUUUGAUAACAACACCAGAUGAGGAGCAUUCAAGGAAUAGAUUAGCUCACUGAGGCGUGCAUCUUCUCCUAUCCAAAUAGGGUUUAGACAAUGCGCGUGUGUGUUGAGGCCGCGUUGUGUAGUCUUGUUUGUGACACUUGAGACAGAUAAAAGUGGAUUUCUCAGUUUGCAGUCUAAUGUUCCCACUCUGUACUUCCACAGUGUCAAGAGCAGCUCAGCCUACAUGAGACACACUGUCAGGUCCAAAUGCAUCAGCAGUGAAUUGAAAAGUGAAGUGAAAGUAUUUUACUGCUGGAAUGACAAAUUUUCGUCUCCAGACAGACUUCCUAAUACUUACUGGGUAAAAUAAAUAUGAGCGUUUGCUCUACAGUGCGUUCUGUUCUCCUGGUGUCCUUCCUCAUUCUCUGUGUGUUCUCCUCCGAUCCGUUACGUCCACGUUAGGGGGAGUAGUAGGUCGACCCAAAUGCACAAGCACAGCAGUUUGAUUUGUAGCCAAUGAUUGUAUUUCCCAUACGACCUGGGAAGGGAAAAAGAAAAAACAAACAAGGCAAAUAGUCAAAAGGGGAACAGAAAGUGCUCUUCGGGCUCAACUGGAGUCGGGAGGGAAACUCCACCGACGUCUGUCAGGGGAUAAAGCAGUUCUGGUGUGGAAACCCGAGGCCCGACACCAUAACCAGAGUCUGAUUAAAAGGAGUCACGUGUACUCCGUGGGUCUGACACUGCAGGACAUAAACAUGCAAACUGGUGCGCUACAUCUGACAAAAUAAAUACGAGGCGCCCUGAUCCUGAUCAGUGGCAAAAAAACAACAAAACAACAAAAAACAAACAAAACAAAAGCACAGACGGGGAAAAACUGCUAAGCAGAUAGAGACCCUAACAGUCCGAUCUUCAGCUCCUGCUGUCCAUAUUGGACAGUGUCCUCUGGCAGGAUACGGACCCCCAGAUUACUCUGAAUGUUUCCCCGUUGGGGAUUAUUUCUGCUCCUGAUGGGCAGGUGGCAUCUGGAAUGGCAGCAGGUGUUGACAUGCACUUUGAGCUUUGAGUGGUGGAGACUGGAAAGGCGAAACCCAAACAUACAGGGAAGGUGUUGACUUCCACGUUGUGGUGCAUGGCUCAGAACGCUGCACACUCGGGGCCUCGUGGACCAGCGCUUUUGUGCCCACGCAUGUUUGUUACGCAAUGUGCGCGUUAAAGCGCGGCGAGGUACAAACAAGGCGCACGGAGGUAAAAGCGCAGACUGCCUGUCGCAGGAAGUGAAAAAGGCAAAUUGUGCUUUUCCGUGUCAUUUGUGACGCGUGUGGAUUUUAGGGUUCUGGAAGGACCACCGCAGGUUUGUUCAGCACACGUUUCUUUUAUUUUCUGUUUCCGUCCACACAUUUACAUUUACACACUCACGGCGUCCAGUUCGUGGUUUCUAACUACAACCUAACAAGAACCAAUCUGAGGCUCACUGAGAGAAUGAGCUGCCAACCUUUUAGUAAAAAAUAAAAUGAGAUCUACUGAUGGAGAGCUAUGAUGGAGGCUGUUUUUCUUCACACAUGUUCAACUAUCAAACAUAAUUUACCUGCAUUUGAUUGAUUUUUCCGAUAUCAGUGCAUUAGAAGUGAGGCAGUAUACAUCACAUCCAGUGAGGGGCCCAGUCCUUUGGAUAUUUUUCUGUAUGUGGCCCUCGGGAAAACAGUUUGGACUACCCUGCUAUGGACCCGGCGGAGCUGACGGUCCGACCGGCAAACAGUACAGCCGUUGAGGGGGGGGGCGCUGACGGUACGCCAAAGUCGGCCCACUACUCGCCGUUGGCGGCGGGCGGCACCGGACGCUGGAGUUUGAGACCCGAUUCAAUUCAAUUCAUUUUAUAUUGUAGAGCCCAAAAUCGCAAAUUACAAAUUAGCCUCAGAGGGCUUUACAGUCUGUACACAUACAACAUCCUCUGUCCCGAAACCCACCAUCGGCACAGGAAACACUCCCCAAAAAAUGAAAAAAACUUCCAAGAGGGAAAAAGGGAAGAAACCUUAGGGAGAACGUCAGAGGAGGGAUCCCACUCCCGGGAUGGACAGACUACAAUGGAUGCCAUGUGUACAGAAUGAACAAUGUAUAAUACAUGAGACUAUAUGACAGAAAUGAUUCAUGUAAUUGUGAGUAGUAAGCCAGGCGCACAGCAGGACCACUGCAGGGACCACCACCAUCCACAGAAGCCUGUGGGGAGGGAGAGCACAGAGACUUAAGGAGAGGGUAAUGUUGGUUUACGAGUACAGUAAUAUGAUUAAUAUGUAAAAUAAGAAGCUGAAUUAGUCAUGUGCAUUAAUAAAACGUGAAUUAUGGUAGAACGAGAGCGUGAGAGAGGAGCUCGGUGUGUCCUAAGAAGUCCCCCGCCAGUCUAAGCCUAUAGCAGCUUAACUAAGGGCUGGUCCGGACUAACCUGAGCCAGCCCUAACUAUAGGCAGAAUCAAAGAGGAACGUUUUAAGUUUUACUUUAAAAGAGCUGACCGAAUCUGCCCCCCGGACUGAAAGUGGAACCUGGUUCCACAAAAGAGGAGCUUGAUAACUGAAGGCUCUGGCCCCCAGCCUACUUUUUAAAACCAUAGGAACAACAAGUAACCAGCAUCUAUGGAGCGCAGCUACCUUGUAGGGCAACAAGGUGUUACAAGCUCUUUAAGAUACUACGGUGCCUCACCAGCAAGUGCCUUGUAGGUGAGGAGAAGUACCUUAAAAUCUAUUCUUGAUUUAACAUGGAGUCAGUGCAGAGAAGUUAAUACAGGAGCGAUAUGAUCCCUUUUCUUAGUUCUUGUUAAUACACGUGCUGCAGCAUUCUGAAUCAACUGGAGAGGCUUAAGAGAUUUACAAGAGCAGCCUGAUAAC
Molecule: long non-coding RNA, 3212 nt
Organism: Gasterosteus aculeatus aculeatus (three-spined stickleback)
Lineage: Eukaryota; Metazoa; Chordata; Actinopteri; Perciformes; Gasterosteidae
Source: Ensembl